UACAGAGGGUGCAAGCGUUGUUCGGAAUUACUGGGCGUAAAGCGUGCGUAGGCUGUAUUGAGAGUCAUAGGUGAAAUCCCCAGGCUUAACCUGGGAACUGCCCGUGAGACCUCAGUACUAGAGUGUGAGAGAGGAUCGUGGAAUACCUGGUGUAGCGGUGAAAUGCGUAGAGAUCAGGUGGAACACCGGUGGCGAAGGCGGCGAUCUGGCUCAUAACUGACGCUCAGGCACGAAAGCGUGGGUAGCAAACAGG
This 253-nucleotide ribosomal RNA is filed under the name uncultured bacterium. Its description in RNAcentral is "partial 16S ribosomal RNA". It matches the Rfam family "Bacterial small subunit ribosomal RNA", at positions 524 to 776 of the family's 1533-position model. The record is from RNAcentral.